This 273-nucleotide ribosomal RNA is filed under the name uncultured bacterium. RNAcentral's name for it is "partial 16S ribosomal RNA". It matches the Rfam family "Bacterial small subunit ribosomal RNA", at positions 524 to 796 of the family's 1533-position model. The record is from RNAcentral.
UACGAAGGUCCCAAGCGUUAUUCGGAAUCACUGGGCGUAAAGAGUACGUAGGCGGUUUGGUAAGUCAGGUGUGAAAUCCCGAAGCUCAACUUCGGAACUGCAUCCGAUACUGCCAGACUUGAGUAAUGGAGAGGCAGGUGGAAUUCUCGGUGUAGCAGUGAAAUGCGUGGAUAUCGAGAGGAAGACCAAUGGCGAAGGCAGCCUGCUGGACAUUGACUGACGCUGAGGUACGAAGGCUAGGGGAGCGAAAGGGAUUAGAAACCCCAGUAGUCC